GCCCUGGCCGGUAGCUCAGUUGGUUAGAGCAUUGUCCUGAUAAGUCAAGGUUGCAGGUUCGAUUCCUGCUCAGGGCA
Molecule: non-coding RNA, 77 nt
Organism: Myotis myotis
Lineage: Eukaryota; Metazoa; Chordata; Mammalia; Chiroptera; Vespertilionidae
Source: the annotation of a RefSeq genome assembly